Long non-coding RNA from Athalia rosae (coleseed sawfly), 657 nucleotides. RefSeq lists it as uncharacterized. The record is from RefSeq and is a predicted model, not a curated record. The transcript has 3 exons. Lineage: Eukaryota; Metazoa; Arthropoda; Insecta; Hymenoptera; Athaliidae.
AAGUGGAGAAAAAAAAAAGAAAAAACGAAGGGAGACGGAGGAUCGCUACAGAGGGACCGGCGGAACUCGGGCCGCACAGCCGUAUAGGGUGAACGCCCUAUAGCCAGUUUCAGGACGAACGAAGUGAAAAGGGCCGUCAGGCAGCAACAACAAAGGAAAAUCUCUGGGGUGAAGAACGGCGGUAUAUAGAAACCGGAAGAAAGAUGCAGCCCUUCCAUAAGCUGACAGGAAAAAGUGCCCCUAAGUACCAGCUAAAGGAUUGUCAAUGCCAAGGAAAGGAUAUACAGGGGAAAAAAAAGAAGAAGAAGAAGAAGAAAUGGAAAAAAAGCAAAUAGGAAAAGAAAAAUAACAUGUAAAAGGAGCAGAAGAAGAAGAAGAAGAAGAAAAGGAAGUAGACGUGAAAGUGGAAGUAGAAGUAGAAUAAGAAGAAGUUGACUUCCGAGAGGGUAGCGCAAGAAUAGGUUCUUCACUCCGCCCCCGGUCUACCCCAACUGGCCCCCGGUGCAGAGCUGCCUGCCUCCUACCAAAAACUCAAAAGAUUUAUCGUCACUCUUUUGUUAUAUUCCCGGAACCCCCGAGGUGCACCGCACUAGAAUUUUUUUCCCCCAAAAAGGUGAAUGAAAAAAAAAAAACCAACAACAAAAUAAAAUAAAAUGA